AGGGAUAUAGCUCAGUGGUGUAGCACCUGCCUGGCAAAUCCAAGGUCCUGAGUUCAAUUCCCAGUAUUCCCU
Molecule: transfer RNA, 72 nt
Filed under: Cavia porcellus (domestic guinea pig)
Lineage: Eukaryota; Metazoa; Chordata; Mammalia; Rodentia; Caviidae
Rfam family: tRNA
About the family: Transfer RNA (tRNA) molecules are approximately 80 nucleotides in length. Their secondary structure includes four short double-helical elements and three loops (D, anti-codon, and T loops).
Source: Rfam by way of RNAcentral